AGAAUCAACGCUGGCGGCGUGCCUAACACAUGCAAGUCGAACGAGAAAGUGGAGCAAUCCAUGAGUAAAGUGGCGACCGGGUGAGUAACACGUGACUAACCUACCUUCGAGUGGGGGAUAACCUCGGGAAACCGGGGCUAAUACCGCAUAAUAUCCACGGAUCAAAGGAGCAAUUCGCUUGAAGAGGGGGUCGCGGCUGAUUAGUUAGUUGGCGGGGUAAUGGCCCACCAAGACAAUGAUCGGUAGCCGGCCUGAGAGGGCGCACGGCCACACCUGGAACUGAAACACGGUCCAGACUCCUACGGGAGGCAGCAGUGGGAAUUUUGCGCAAUGGGGGAAACCCUGACGCAGCAACGCCGCGUGGAGGAUGAAGUCCCUUGGGACGUAAACUCCUUUCGACUGGGAAGAUAAUGACGGUACCAGUGGAAGAAGCCCCGGCUAACUUCGUGCCAGCAGCCGC
This 460-nucleotide ribosomal RNA is filed under the name uncultured bacterium. Its description in RNAcentral is "SSU rRNA". It matches the Rfam family "Bacterial small subunit ribosomal RNA", at positions 26 to 518 of the family's 1533-position model. The record is from RNAcentral.